GACGAACGCUGGCGGCGUGCCUAAUACAUGCAAGUCGAGCGAGUCUGCCUUGAAGUUCGGAGUGCUUCCACUCUGUGAAACAAGAUACAGGCUAGCGGCGGACGGGUGAGUAACACGUGGGUAACCUGCCCAAGAGAUCGGGAUAACACCUGGAAACAGAUGCUAAUACCGGAUAAUAACAAAUGAUGCCUAUCAAGUGUUUACAAGAUGGUUCUGCUAUCACUCUUGGAUGGGUCUGCGGUGCAUUAUCUAGUUGGUAGGGUAACGGCCUACCAAGGCGAUGAUGCAUAGCCGAGUUGCGAGACUGAUCGGCCACAUUGGGACUGAGACACGGCCCAGACUCCUACGGGAGGCAGCAGUAGGGAAUCUUCCACAAUGGACGCAAGUCUGAUGGAGCAACGCCGCGUGAGUGAAGAAGGGUUUCGGCUCGUAAAGCUCUGUUGUUGGUGAAGAACGACAGUGGUAGUAACUGACCUUUGUUUGACGGUAAUCAAUUAGAAAGUCACGGCUAACUACGUG
Molecule: ribosomal RNA, 519 nt
Filed under: uncultured bacterium
Lineage: Bacteria
Description: partial 16S ribosomal RNA
Rfam family: Bacterial small subunit ribosomal RNA
Source: RNAcentral